AACAUCGCGCACCUGCGGGAACCUGCGGAGGGAUCAUUAUAGGAAAUUUUCAAAUACCCAAGUUGUGAGGGGGGAGGAGGGAGGUUGGAAUGGAAUGGAAUGGAAGGGGUGGUCCUUUCUUUCUUUCUUUCCGGCUUUUUUUUUCCCCUCUUGCUUCUUCAAACAAACUAUCGCAACUAUAACAAAAGAGGGGAAUUGGAUGGAAUUGACUUGGUUAUAUUUAUAAGAAAAGAAAAAAGU
RNAcentral lists this unclassified non-coding RNA (240 nucleotides) under soil metagenome. RNAcentral describes it as "partial contains 5.8S ribosomal RNA, internal transcribed spacer 2, and large subunit ribosomal RNA". The record is from RNAcentral.